Molecule: long non-coding RNA, 1427 nt
Filed under: Callithrix jacchus (white-tufted-ear marmoset)
Lineage: Eukaryota; Metazoa; Chordata; Mammalia; Primates; Cebidae
Description: lncRNA (ENSCJAG00000065035.2)
Source: RNAcentral
CCUAGUUUGGGAUUUAAACAAAGUUGUCAGGUUUAUAGGCUAUGAGAAUUUAUAAUGGACAAAAGAAGGUUAAGUAGUCUAGAUUGCAGAGGGCAGAAAUUACAGCCAGAAAACAAAAUUCAGACACCUAAUGAUGACACAAUCUUCCAAAUUGUAAAUCUGAUCUCAUUUUCAUUUAGUGACAUUUGACCUCUGUCAAUUUUCCAUACUUUAGUAUGUUCAGUAGCAAAUUGGAUAGCAUUGAAAAGAUGACACCGUAACUGCAGAAUCAUGUCUAUGGAUCAUUUCUGAGAAUCCGUCCCUAAUCUAAUCUCAUCUCCAGAAGCUUCUCAAGCUGCCCCCUGUCUUGGGUCAAGAUCAUUUUCUCAAUGAAAUGAGUUUGAACCCCAGUGGCAACAUGGGUGUCAGGUGGUGUUGGCGGUGGGACAGCCCGGAGCUGUGGUGACCUCCUAACAGCAUGGCAUAUGAAACCUCACAGACUUGGAGUGUCGUUGAUGGAAUGUCCAAAGCAUUGCAUGAGACUCUCAACAACUCAAUUACUGCAGUCACAAUCAGAAGAUAGAUUGAGUUGGAACCUGGAACCUGCUGAUCCUGUCAGGCAGCCUGUGAUUCUGGAAGUCAAGGCGGGGAAAAAAAAAAAGGAAAAUUUCUAGAUGAGGAAGGAGAUGAAAGCUUUUGUGUUGUGCAUUCAGUAAGACAUGUACUUUCUUAAGUAGGUGGCAAAGAAAGUCUGAGAGUCCUGCCUUUUUCAUCUCGGAAUCCUGCCUUUCCCACGUAGAGGAGACGCAGCACAUCCACUGCACAGUAGAUCCAGUUUUCUCUCAUAACCACUGUGCAGAUAAACACACAUUUGGCAAGGCAGUGCUGUUUUCAGUUGUUAAAAGCCCUACCAUUCCACGAGAUGAAGCAAAGGACAGAUGGUGAAGUAAACAGGCAACAAGGCUCUGACUCCACACCCCUCUCUGCAAGGAGGAUUCUCGGUCCUUACACCACAAAGUGUGAGAUGCUUACAGCCACCUCCUGGCCCUAACCCUGGAGCUCCACUGGAGCUCACCUCAGUGGAGCUCCCAGAAGUUCUCAGAGCAGGCUGUACCUGUCCGGGGUGAUCCUUUCCACUUCAAUCUUAGACAUGCAGUUCUCUGUGAAAUCUCACCUGACUCACUGAGGCAUGAACAUUUUAUCACAACUAUCAUCACGUAUUGUUAAAUCACCAAUUUUCUUGUCUCCGUCACUAGACUGUGAGCUCCUUGAAGGCUGUACCUGGGUUUGGCACUGAGUGGCACUCAGUAAAUACUUCUUGAAUAAGAGAAUGUAUGUACACAGUGGCAUGAAAUUGAUUUGGUUUUGUUGGUUUUCUUAAAUGCUAAAUUUGUAGGCAGUCCAGUAAAAACUAUAAAGCUGUUACCCUGUAAACCAUGAGUACCAUU